RNAcentral lists this transfer RNA (62 nucleotides) under Musculium lacustre. RNAcentral describes it as "tRNA-Phe". The record is from RNAcentral. Lineage: Eukaryota; Metazoa; Mollusca; Bivalvia; Venerida; Sphaeriidae.
GUGUUGGUAGUUUAAAAAGAACAUAACGUUGAAGCUGUUAAGGAAAAUUGUUUUCUAACACA